This is an unclassified non-coding RNA of Erinaceus europaeus (western European hedgehog), 299 nucleotides long. Its record names the gene 7SK. It matches the Rfam family "7SK RNA". Rfam says of the family: 7SK was discovered as an abundant small nuclear RNA in the mid-70s but a possible function has only recently been suggested. Two independent studies have found that 7SK RNA binds the CDK9/cyclin T complex (known as elongation factor P-TEFb). NCBI's taxonomy places the organism in Eukaryota, Metazoa, Chordata, Mammalia, Eulipotyphla, Erinaceidae. The record is from Ensembl.
GGAUGUGAGAGCGAUCUGGCUGUGACAUCUGUCACCCCACUGAUCUCCAGGGUUGAUUCGGCUGAUCUGGCUGGCUAGGCGGGUGUCCCCUUGCUCCCUCACCGCUCCAUGUAUGUCCCUCCCCAAGCUGCAUGCUAGGUCACAGAGGACGGCCUUCCCGGAAUAGAGACGGACUGGUCUUUGGUCAAGGGUGUAUGAGUAGCUGCACUCCUCUGCUAGAACCUCCAAAGAAGCUCUCAAGUGUAGUAGAAAGCUUUUGUCCUUCCAGAACAGGAAAAGGCACCAUAUUACUUCUUUUU